UCCGGGGUGGUGAAAUAGGUAAACACGCACGACCGUUUAUCGUGUGCUUAAUAGGCUUGAAGGUUCGAUUCCUUCUCCCGGAGCCA
RNAcentral lists this transfer RNA (86 nucleotides) under bacterium. RNAcentral describes it as "tRNA-Asn". It matches the Rfam family "tRNA". From Rfam's summary of the family: Transfer RNA (tRNA) molecules are approximately 80 nucleotides in length. The record is from RNAcentral.